AUUGGUUUUUUUUAUUUGUUCUCGAUUUCUUAAAUAUUUAAUUUCGGGUUGUUAUCUACAAUAAAUUGCAUACAUGGUUUCAUCUUUGAUUGAACUCGUACCAGUUUUGUUAAUUGUAUAGACAGCCGUAUUAACACUUUCUGCUCAAAGUGAUUUAUUUAGAUUUUUCUAGUCCUUGCAGCUUCUACUACCGUCCGGUUACAGCUGUAUCACAAUCAAGAAGUAAUCACUGAAAGUAAAAAUGUAAAAUAAAUCUUUGAUUAUUGAAUUUGGCACGGCGUGGGUACCAGGUUUGAUCUUGUUAAUUAAACAUGGAAAGAGAUAAAUGUAUUAUUUAUACGGUAUUCGUCUUUAGUCUGGCGAUUGGCGAAGACAGGAGUGGGGUGGCUCAAAACUCACAAAAAAAUAAUGAAUGUAUCACGUCAAAUGAUCUUAACGGCAAUUGCAUUAACAUAACAAGAUGCCCAACACAUUAUCCAUUAGAAAAUCAGAUACAAAAUUCUUCUUUUAGCAUUAAUCUCAGAAACUCCAUGUGUGUAAAUAAGGAUAAUUCCACUUAUUACGCUAAGGUACGCUGUCCAUUGGAGAAUGAACUUACCACCAACACUGAAUUUUCUCAAAAGAAAAUUACUCUCAAUAUUGAUUUUACAUUAUCGGAAAUUGACGAAAUAAAUUCACCAAGCAAAUUGCCAUCUCAAGAAACUUGUGGAAAGGAGUUUCAAUUUUACCAGUAUCAUCCACAUGAAAUAACAGGAGGGAUCGAAAGAAAAUCUGCUAAAUUAGGCGCAACAAAAUAUGUAGUUAAUCGGCCCUGGAUAGUGGCACUCGGGUAUCUAACUCUUAAACGGUCUUCUAACUCUUAUACUGAUAUGCCAAAGCCGGAAUACGAGUGGAAGUGUGGCGGUUCCUUGAUAUCAGAUAGAUACGUAUUAACAGCUGCUCACUGCACCAUUGCAGUCGAUCAUGGAAUGUCUUGUUUGACUGUUGUGCGUUUAGGUCAUUUACUUAAAAUACAUUGGCCUAAAGCUGCAAAACCAAUAGAUGUGACAAUUUCACGGGUCAUUAGACAUAAAGAAUAUAACGCACAAAAACUGACCAAUGAUAUUGCAUUAUUAAAAUUAAACAACAGUGUUGAAUUCAAUCCUUAUAUUCGACCUAUCUGUUUACCCAUCUUAUGGCAUCAUAGAACCAACACGUUCGUUGAAUCUGAACUAUUUGUUACAGGAUGGGGUUCCAGAAGGUUUGAGGGACCAGCAUCCAAGUAUCUAAUUGAAGUUAAACUACGCGGAGUGGACAAUGUUGAAUGUAAAAUGCUAUUUGACUUAAAGAAUUUCGUUAUCGAUGAUAGAAUGUUGUGUGCUGGAUCGUUAACAGGCAAACAGGACGCUUGUCAGGGAGAUUCUGGAUGUCCUUUAAUGUGGAAAAAUCGUAAUCAAUAUUAUUUAGUGGGUAUUGUGUCUUUCGGAUAUAAAUGUGGUGAACGAGGUUAUCCAGGUGGAUAUACUAGAGUGACAUCAUUUAUCGAAUGGAUCGAAGAUAACAUGGAUUAAAGUUAAAUUGUAUUGAUUGAUGCAAAUGAUGCUAUAGUUAAAUUAAGUGAAUUUAAUAAAAAUAUUAUCUAAGCAUAUAGCUAUUAUAAGACCGAUCAGAAUUUACGGCAUUCAACUGUGGGGUUGUGCCAGUAAGUCUAACAUCGAUGUAAUAGAACGCUGUCGAAAAAUCGCCCACGCCUUGGAACGGAGCAAAAAAGCGCACCAAAUAAAGACCUUUUUAGCUCCAAACCCUUAUCUCAGGGGGGGGUCUUAGUUAUUUUUUUAUUAAGUGAACGUGGGUAAUGUUUGAGUUGGGGGGGGGGAGGAGUAUAAUAUGCUCGAAUAAACAAUAUAGUCACGUAUAAAAAUCAGCCACACAAACAUUACCCACGUUCACUUAAU
Molecule: unclassified non-coding RNA, 1934 nt
Filed under: Acyrthosiphon pisum (pea aphid)
Lineage: Eukaryota; Metazoa; Arthropoda; Insecta; Hemiptera; Aphididae
Description: venom protease, transcript variant X5
Source: RNAcentral